This 699-nucleotide ribosomal RNA is filed under the name uncultured bacterium. RNAcentral describes it as "bacterial SSU rRNA". It matches the Rfam family "Bacterial small subunit ribosomal RNA", at positions 136 to 822 of the family's 1533-position model. The record is from RNAcentral.
UGCCCAUAUAACACUUGGAAACAGGUGCUAAUACCGUAUAACACUAUUUUCCGCAUGGAAGAAAGUUGAAAGGCGCUUUUGCGUCACUGAUGGAUGGACCCGCGGUGCAUUAGCUAGUUGGUGAGGUAACGGCUCACCAAGGCCAUGAUGCAUAGCCGACCUGAGAGGGUGAUCGGCCACACUGGGACUGAGACACGGCCCAGACUCCUACGGGAGGCAGCAGUAGGGAAUCUUCGGCAAUGGACGAAAGUCUGACCGAGCAACGCCGCGUGAGUGAAGAAGGUUUUCGGAUCGUAAAACUCUGUUGUUAGAGAAGAACAAGGAUGAGAGUAAAAUGUUCAUCCCUUGACGGUAUCUAACCAGAAAGCCACGGCUAACUACGUGCCAGCAGCCGCGGUAAUACGUAGGUGGCAAGCGUUGUCCGGAUUUAUUGGGCGUAAAGCGAGCGCAGGCGGUUUCUUAAGUCUGAUGUGAAAGCCCCCGGCUCAACCGGGGAGGGUCAUUGGAAACUGGGAGACUUGAGUGCAGAAGAGGAGAGUGGAAUUCCAUGUGUAGCGGUGAAAUGCGUAGAUAUAUGGAGGAACACCAGUGGCGAAGGCGGCUCUCUGGUCUGUAACUGACGCUGAGGCUCGAAAGCGUGGGGAGCGAACAGGAUUAGAUACCCUGGUAGUCCACGCCGUAAACGAUGAGUGCUAAGUG